RNAcentral lists this ribosomal RNA (253 nucleotides) under uncultured bacterium. RNAcentral's name for it is "partial 16S ribosomal RNA". It matches the Rfam family "Bacterial small subunit ribosomal RNA", at positions 524 to 776 of the family's 1533-position model. The record is from RNAcentral.
UACGUAGGGUGCGAGCGUUAAUCGGAAUUACUGGGCGUAAAGGGUGCGCAGGCGGUUUUGUAAGUCAGAUGUGAAAUCCCCGGGCUUAACCUGGGAAUUGCGUUUGAAACUGUAGAGCUAGAGUGUAGCAGAGGGGGGUGGAAUUCCAUGUGUAGCAGUGAAAUGCGUAGAGAUAUGGAAGAACAUCGAUGGCGAAGGCAGCCCCCUGGGUUAACACUGACGCUCAUGCACGAAAGCGUGGGGAGCAAACAGG